UAUCAUGUGCCUUUCAAAUUAACUUCUAAUUUUUUUUUGUGAAGGAUCUCUUUUUGUUUAUGGAUCAGUUGCUGGAAGAAUUAGAAGUCAAUGAUGCAGUUUCAACUUACAUAUCUGUCUUUUUGGAGGUCAAGUAACUAUGGAUCUGUGUAUUUGGAGGUCAAGUGACUAGAACAUGGAAGACUAACCGUGGGGCGGAAUUUCUCCUUGUCAGCAGCAAGACUGCAAGGAAGACUCGUUUUUGGUGUUCAUGCUGUUCAUGCCUGUCAGAUCAUAUACACUGAAGUAGACUGGAGCUAAUCUAUUUUGUUGCUUAUGUUGCUUCAUUGGCUGGACUGCUUGCAUUUCUUAUUUUGGUUAUGGUUAGAGACGCUGAACUAGGUGUAUUAUAU
Hordeum vulgare subsp. vulgare (domesticated barley) is the source of this 392-nucleotide long non-coding RNA. RefSeq lists it as uncharacterized. The transcript has 3 exons. The record is from RefSeq and is a predicted model, not a curated record. NCBI's taxonomy places the organism in Eukaryota, Viridiplantae, Streptophyta, Magnoliopsida, Poales, Poaceae.